RNAcentral lists this unclassified non-coding RNA (241 nucleotides) under Hevea brasiliensis (rubber tree). The record is from RNAcentral. Lineage: Eukaryota; Viridiplantae; Streptophyta; Magnoliopsida; Malpighiales; Euphorbiaceae.
AACAUAUAAAAAAUAAAUAAUAAAAUAAUACUGAGAAAUAUAAGGUUAAUAUCUCACAAUCAAACUCGAUGAGAUCUAAUAUCCUAAAAGCUAUUAAUAAUUACAUCAUUAUUAAUUUUAUCUAAUAUAUCUCUCUUUAAAUGAAUAACUAAAUUGUUAUUCAUCAAUAGAUCACAUAUGUGCUUGGGCAAUUUUUUGUUGAAAAGGUUCAAUGUUAAGAAAGUUUGUUCCACAGUUGGCA